Molecule: ribosomal RNA, 447 nt
Filed under: uncultured bacterium
Lineage: Bacteria
Description: bacterial SSU rRNA
Rfam family: Bacterial small subunit ribosomal RNA
Source: RNAcentral
UCGGGAAUUUUGGGCAAUGGGCGAAAGCCUGACCUAGCAACGCCGCGUGAAGGAUGAAGUAUUUCGGUAUGUAAACUUCGUAAGAAUAGGAAGAAUAAAUGACGGUACUAUUUGUAAGGUCCGGCUAACUACGUGCCAGCAGCCGCGGUAAUACGUAGGGACCAAGCGUUGUUCGGAUUUACUGGGCGUAAAGGGCGCGUAGGCGGCAAUUCAAGUCAUCUGUGAAAUCUCCGGGCUUAACUCGGAACGGUCAGAUGAUACUGCUUUGCUAGAGUGCAGAAGGGGCAAUCGGAAUUCUUGGUGUAGCGGUGAAAUGCGUAGAUAUCAAGAGGAACACCUGAGGUGAAGACGGGUUGCUGGGCUGACACUGACGCUGAGGCGCGAAAGCCAGGGGAGCAAACGGGAUUAGAUACCCGAGUAGUCCCUGAGCGGGCUGGCAAGGCGCAU